CGGAACAGUAUAACUUUCCUUUCGAAUUUUCAUUUUCUGAAAUUAAUUCAUUCGAAAUUAGGAUCAUGGAAUGAUAGGUGCACCAUCUAUGAAUAUAACGAAUCGCAUGUCAUUAGGAAUUGAAAAUCGAUAAUUGCAACUUGAUCCUAUAAUUUUUGCAUGUCAACUUGACGCUUUCAUUCGUCUUAAUUUAACUCAAACUUAUAACGUUUAAAUCUUGAUUCUAAGGAUGGAAGGCGAGGAGAUUGGAUGGAAGGAGAAGAGAAGUAGUUAAUGGAUAAGAAAGAAAGAUUUACUAAUCUUCAAUCAUAUUUUCGUAUAAUAUUCUUAUCAAGUGAUACUACAUAAUUUUAAAACGGAUUUGGAAUAGUGUAGCUAGAGUCCUUUAGCACCACAUUAUAUUCAUAUAAAAAAACCGGUAUAGCACUUCUUCAAAGUUCAAAUCCUUGCUAAGAAUUCCACUUGUCCUUCAAAUCCUACAGUCAAUAUAAAGAACAAAAUAAGAAAAAGGUAAUUAGCUACAAGGAAAACAUCCAUAGAAUAUAUACUUUCUAAGAUGAUAUUAAUAACUAGCGAGGCCAAAUUUUAAAAAUCUGGUGACAACCUCUAGGGGAAAAGAAUUGUGGUGUUUAUUUGAAAGAAAUUAAGCAACAUUAAAAGUGAAAACACAAACUUCAACAUAAGUAGUUUAUAGACCAAAAAAAAUGAAUUUGAAAAAUUUGGGACAAUGACCAUCACUUCGUCGUGGCUCCACCUUGAGCUGUAGUAAUUAUUUACUAAACAAUAUACUCCAUCCAUUUCAAUCUAUGUUAACCUGUUUGACUGAGAAUGAAAUUUUUAAAAAAAAAAAAGACUUUUGAUAUUUAUGAUUCUAAAUCCAAAUGGGGCUCAGAGUAUUUGUGUGGUUAUAAAAGUUUCUCAUUAAUGGUAGAGUUAUAACUUUAAGCUCAAUAGUUACCAAAUUUUGUAACGGUUCAUUAUUUUUGGAACGGACCAAAUAGGAAAUAGGUUCACAUAAACUGAAACGGAGGGAAUAGCAAUCUUUCAUAUUUAUAAAAGGGUCUAAUGGGCAUUGGACAAAAUUUGAGCGGAUUAAAAUGAAUUUAAUUAACAAAGGUGUUAGGUCAUAUCCGCCCAAAAACAUCUAUGGAUGAAUAUAUGUGGGUUAAUUUAAACUAAGUUAAUAUAUCAUAAUCCAAUCCAAAUUAGACCUAACUGACCAAACCCCAAAUUUUUUUUUUCUAAGCUUUGAUAAUUUUUGGCAUGGAUCACUUGGUUACAUAAGCUAUUCAAAUUAGCCCAAAUUUUUUGAUUAUACACAAAUUGAACCCCCAAUGAAUAUUUGUCCAGCCCGAGCCAUCCAAACUUGGACGAGUUGAUCAGCUGGUUAUAUUUUCAUGGGCUAAAUGUGACACAUCCAAAUAUAAUAAUAGGACGAGAAGAAAGUUACUUGGAGCAAUCAACUGUAGGGCUGAUGGGUAUUUUGGUAGUAAGUUUGCAGAGGGUAGGGAGUUGUGCUGCUUUAUCAACGUUUAUAGGGAAAGC
RNAcentral lists this long non-coding RNA (1545 nucleotides) under Nicotiana benthamiana. Its description in RNAcentral is "long non-coding RNA (NBEN_LNC006582)". The record is from RNAcentral. Lineage: Eukaryota; Viridiplantae; Streptophyta; Magnoliopsida; Solanales; Solanaceae.